UACGUAGGGGGCAAGCGUUGUCCGGAUUUAUUGGGCGUAAAGAGCGUGUAGGCGGUUUGGUAGGUCCGCUGUGAAAACUCGAGGCUCAACCUCGAGAGGCCGGUGGAAACCAUCAGGCUAGAGUCCGGAAGAGGAGAGUGGAAUUCCUGGUGUAGCGGUGAAAUGCGCAGAUAUCAGGAAGAACACCCGUGGCUAAGGCGGCUCUCUAGUACGGUACUGACGCUGAGACGCGAAAGCGUGGGGAGCGAACAGG
Molecule: ribosomal RNA, 253 nt
Filed under: uncultured bacterium
Lineage: Bacteria
Description: partial 16S ribosomal RNA
Rfam family: Bacterial small subunit ribosomal RNA
Source: RNAcentral